Molecule: long non-coding RNA, 424 nt
Organism: Drosophila mojavensis
Lineage: Eukaryota; Metazoa; Arthropoda; Insecta; Diptera; Drosophilidae
Exons: 2
Source: RefSeq, a predicted model, not a curated record
CAGAUCUGGGUCUGCAAUAUACACUUUGGUUGGUUGGCAUAAAACAAAAUCAACAGCAAUGGCAAUGGCGAAUGGGUGUGUGCGUGUAUGUUUUGGCUGAAAUUUACAGCACUUGCAAAAUGACAUCAUUUAACAGUUGCAAAUUGUUUUGGCAGCAAAUGAAAAAUAUAUAAAAAGAACAAAGAUAUCGUAACUAUUAGCAAAUAUCAAAAGCGUGACCAACUGUGCGCCGAUAAGAGCAACAACCAAGCAAAAAAGCAAAACAAAAACAAUAACAACAACGACAACAACAGCAACAACAACGACAACAGCAGGACUAGCAUCAGCGGCAGGAGCAGCAGGAGCAGCGGCAUAUAAAUAUUAAUAUUCCCCCAAACAUCGGCACUGAGACCAGCUGGCUCGUAAAUAUAAAAUAAUUCAACAA